AUGAACGCUAGCGGCAGGCUUAACACAUGCAAGUCGAGGGGCAACACGGGUAGCAAUACCGUGGUGGCGACCGGCGCAAGGGUGCGUAACGCGUGAGCAACAUACCCUAUACAGGGGGAUAAUCCAGGGAAACUUGGUCUAAUAUCCCAUAGGAUUUACAGAUGUCAUCAUCUAUAAAUUAAAGCUUCGGUGGUAUAGGAUUGGCUCGCGUGACAUUAGCUAGAUGGUGGGGUAACGGCCUACCAUGGCCAUGAUGUCUAGGGGUUCUGAGAGGAAGACCCCCCACACUGGGACUGAGACACGGCCCAGACUCCUACGGGAGGCAGCAGUGAGGAAUAUUGGACAAUGGAUGGAAAUCUGAUCCAGCCAUGCCGCGUGCAGGAAGACGGCCCUAUGGGUUGUAAACUGCUUUUAUAUGGGAGCAAUAAGGUCUACGCGUAGACCGAUGAGAGUACCAUAUGAAUAAGCAUCGGCUAACUCCGUG
Molecule: ribosomal RNA, 484 nt
Filed under: uncultured bacterium
Lineage: Bacteria
Description: bacterial SSU rRNA
Rfam family: Bacterial small subunit ribosomal RNA
Source: RNAcentral